AGUCGAACGGCAGCACGGAGAGCUUGCUCUCUGGUGGCGAGUGGCGAACGGGUGAGUAAUGCAUCGGAACGUACCGAGUAAUGGGGGAUAACUGUCCGAAAGGAUGGCUAAUACCGCAUACGCCCUGAGGGGGAAAGCGGGGGAUCUUAGUGACCUCGCGUUAUUUGAGCGGCCGAUGUUGGAUUAGCUAGUUGGUGGGGUAAAGGCCUACCAAGGCGACGAUCCAUAGCGGGUCUGAGAGGAUGAUCCGCCACAUUGGGACUGAGACACGGCCCAAACUCCUACGGGAGGCAGCAGUGGGGAAUUUUGGACAAUGGGGGGAACCCUGAUCCAGCCAUGCCGCGUGUCUGAAGAAGGCCUUCGGGUUGUAAAGGACUUUUGUUAGGGAAGAAAAGCCGGGUGCUAAUACCACCUGGUGCUGACGGUACCUAAAGAAUAAGCACCGGCUAACUACGUGCCAGCAGCCGCGGUAAUACGUAGGGUGCGAGCGUUAAUCGGAAUUACUGGGCGUAAAGCGAGCGCAGACGGUUAAUCAAGUCAGAUGUGAAAUCCCCGAGCUCAACUUGGGACGUGCAUUUGAAACUGGUUAACUAGAGUGUGUCAGAGGGAGGUAGAAUUCCACGUGUAGCAGUGAAAUGCGUAGAGAUGUGGAGGAAUACCGAUGGCGAAGGCAGCCUCCUGGGAUAACACUGACGUUCAUGCUCGAAAGCGUGGGUAGCAAACAGGAUUAGAUACCCUGGUAGUCCACGCCCUAAACGAUGACAAUUAGCUGUUGGGACACUAGAUGUUUUAGUAGCGAAGCUAACGCGUGAAAUUGUCCGCCUGGGGAGUACGGUCGCAAGAUUAAAACUCAAAGGAAUUGAC
This 864-nucleotide ribosomal RNA is filed under the name uncultured bacterium. Its description in RNAcentral is "bacterial SSU rRNA". It matches the Rfam family "Bacterial small subunit ribosomal RNA", at positions 60 to 914 of the family's 1533-position model. The record is from RNAcentral.